Molecule: ribosomal RNA, 497 nt
Filed under: uncultured bacterium
Lineage: Bacteria
Description: partial 16S ribosomal RNA
Rfam family: Bacterial small subunit ribosomal RNA
Source: RNAcentral
GAUGAACGCUGGCGGCGUGCCUAAUACAUGCAAGUCGAGCGAACAGACGAGGAGCUUGCUCCUCUGACGUUAGCGGCGGACGGGCGAGUAACACGUGGAUAACCUACCUAUAAGACUGGGAUAACUUCGGGAAACCGGAGCUAAUACCGGAUAAUAUAUUGAACCGCAUGGUUCAAUAGUGAAAGACGGUUUUGCUGUCACUUAUAGAUGGAUCCGCGCCGCAUUAGCUAGUUGGUAAGGUAACGGCUUACCAAGGCAACGAUGCGUAGCCGACCUGAGAGGGUGAUCGGCCACACUGGAACUGAGACACGGUCCAGACUCUUACGGGAGGCAGCAGUGGGGAAUCUUCCGCAAUGGGCGAAAGCCUGACGGAGCAACGCCGCGUGAGUGAUGAAGGUCUUCGGAUCGUAAAACUCUGUUAUUAGGGAAGAACAAAUGUGUAAGUAACUAUGCACGUCUUGACGGUACCUAAUCAGAAAGCCACGGCUAACUACGUG